AGCUCCAAUAGCGUAUAUUAAAGUUGUUGCAGUUAAAAAGCUCGUAGUUGAACCUUGGGCGCGGUGCAUCAGGUCGACCGCAAGGUCUGACUUGGUCGCCAAGCCUCUUUUGAGGGACUCGUCGUUCUGCGGCGAGGUAACUCAUGUUACUGUGAAGAAAUUAGAGUGUUUAAAGCAGGCUAUCGCUUGAAUACAUCAGCAUGGAAUAACAAGAUAUGACAUUAGUCUUCUUGUUGGUUUGGAGAUCAAUGUAAUGAUUAAUAGGGCCAGUUGGGGGCAUUAGUAUUCAGUAGUCAGAGGUGAAAUUCUUGGAUUUACUGAAGACUAACUAGUGCGAAAGCAUUUGCCAAGGAUGUUUUCA
This 361-nucleotide ribosomal RNA is filed under the name uncultured eukaryote. Its description in RNAcentral is "SSU rRNA". It matches the Rfam family "Eukaryotic small subunit ribosomal RNA", at positions 587 to 972 of the family's 1831-position model. The record is from RNAcentral.